UACGUAGGGUGCGAGCGUCAAUCGGAAUUACUGGGCGUAAAGUGUGCGCAGGCGGCAGAGCAAGUCGAGUGUGAAAGCCCCGGGCUUAACUUGGGAAUUGCGCUCGAAACUACUUUGCUGGAGUGUGGCAGAGGAAGGUGGAAUUCCACGUGUAGCGGUGAAAUGCGUAGAGAUGUGGAGGAACACCAAUGGCGAAGGCAGCCUUCUGGGCCAACACUGACGCUCAUGCACGAAAGCGUGGGGAGCAAACAGG
RNAcentral lists this ribosomal RNA (253 nucleotides) under uncultured bacterium. Its description in RNAcentral is "partial 16S ribosomal RNA". It matches the Rfam family "Bacterial small subunit ribosomal RNA", at positions 524 to 776 of the family's 1533-position model. The record is from RNAcentral.